CGUAGUCUCCUGUCAGCAAGUGUACAUG
RNAcentral lists this non-coding RNA (28 nucleotides) under Cricetulus griseus (Chinese hamster). The record is from RNAcentral. Lineage: Eukaryota; Metazoa; Chordata; Mammalia; Rodentia; Cricetidae.